AGAGUUUGAUCCUGGCUCAGAUUGAACGCUGGCGGCAUGCCUUACGCAUGCAAGUCGAACGGCAGCACGGAGCUUGCUCUGGUGGCGAGUGGCGAACGGGUGAGUAAUAUAUCGGAACGUACCCUAGAGUGGGGGAUAACGUAGCGAAAGUUACGCUAAUACCGCAUACGAUCUACGGAUGAAAGUGGGGGAUCGCAAGACCUCAUGCUCAUGGAGCGGCCGAUAUCUGAUUAGCUAGUUGGUAGGGUAAAAGCCUACCAAGGCAUCGAUCAGUAGCUGGUCUGAGAGGACGACCAGCCACACUGGAACUGAGACACGGUCCAGACUCCUACGGGAGGCAGCAGUGGGGAAUUUUGGACAAUGGGCGAAAGCCUGAUCCAGCAAUGCCGCGUGAGUGAAGAAGGCCUUCGGGUUGUAAAGCUCUUUUGUCAGGGAAGAAACGGUUGUCUCUAAUACAGAUGGCUAAUGACGGUACCUGAAGAAUAAGCACCGGCUAACUACGUGCCAGCAGCCGCGGUAAUACGUAGGGUGCAAGCGUUAAUCGGAAUUACUGGGCGUAAAGCGUGCGCAGGCGGUUAUGUAAGACAGAUGUGAAAUGCCCGGGCUUAACCUGGGAACUGCAUUUGUGACUGCAUGGC
Molecule: ribosomal RNA, 638 nt
Filed under: uncultured Aquaspirillum sp.
Lineage: Bacteria; Pseudomonadati; Pseudomonadota; Betaproteobacteria; Neisseriales; Aquaspirillaceae
Description: bacterial SSU rRNA
Rfam family: Bacterial small subunit ribosomal RNA
Source: RNAcentral